Molecule: ribosomal RNA, 276 nt
Filed under: uncultured bacterium
Lineage: Bacteria
Description: partial 16S ribosomal RNA
Rfam family: Bacterial small subunit ribosomal RNA
Source: RNAcentral
CCGUUGCCGGCGACCGGCGCACGGGUGAGUAACACGUAUGCAACCUGCCCGUGGCAGGGGGAUAAGCGGGGGAAACCCCGUCUAAUACCGCGUAACGCGGCCUAGGGACACCCCAAGGCCGCCGAAGGGAGCAAUCCCGGCCACGGAUGGGCAUGCGGCGCAUUAGCUAGUCGGCGGGGUAACGGCCCACCGAGGCGACGAUGCGUAGGGGUUCUGAGAGGAAGGCCCCCCACACUGGUACUGAGACACGGACCAGACUCCUACGGGAGGCAGCAG